Molecule: long non-coding RNA, 233 nt
Organism: Lolium rigidum
Lineage: Eukaryota; Viridiplantae; Streptophyta; Magnoliopsida; Poales; Poaceae
Exons: 3
Source: RefSeq, a predicted model, not a curated record
AUUUCUCUCUUUUUCUCACAUGGGAGCAGCUAUGAGGCGCAAGCGGCCAGGCCGCACAAGGAGCACUGAGAAAUGAGAACGGUGGUGCUACAGAUCUCAACUGUUUGAUGGAAUGCCCCAUAGUGCUCGCGUCAUUGCACAGAUCUAUAUGAUGCUUGACCUGGAAGGGCAGCAUUAAAACAGUGAUGAUAGUACCUGUGGUGUAUGAAAUCAGCAGGCUAGACAAGAUCAUG